RNA transcript from Carassius auratus (goldfish), 3788 nucleotides. It is a transcript of the gene named oxysterol-binding protein-related protein 1-like, with no coding region annotated. The record is from RefSeq and is a predicted model, not a curated record. The transcript has 22 exons. NCBI's taxonomy places the organism in Eukaryota, Metazoa, Chordata, Actinopteri, Cypriniformes, Cyprinidae.
CAGACUUGUUGGGCAACACGCCGCUGCACUGCGCCGCUUACAGAGGCCAGAAACAGUGCGCCGUUAAGCUUCUUCAGCACAAGGCCAACCCCAACAUCAAGAACAAAAUCGAUCAGACUGUUUUUGAUUUGGCUAACGAUGCAGAAAUGAAGCAGAUCAUUACAGGAAAUGUUAUGAAAGGCAUGACGCGACAUGUUAAAAUGUUUGAGGGGCCUCUUUGGAAGAGCUCGAGGUUUUUUGGCUGGCGCUCCUACUGGGUAGUUCUUCAGGAUGGAGUCUUGUCAUGGUACCCUAAACAGUCAGAUGCAGAUUCAAACACUCACCGGCAAGGUUGCAAACCGCUAACACAAGCGCAGAGCAUGAUUAAAGCGAAAGAUAACUGCUAUUUCACAGUCCGAUGCUUUGACAACACUGUUCACCAUUUCAAAGUGUCACAGACGAACGACCCCGAAUCUACCAGAGAAAGGUGGCUUGAGGCCAUAGAGGAACAUUCAGCCUUUAGCACUCAUUACUGCUCACAGGACCCAGAGAGCGAGGAAGAGGAAGACAACGCUGUGUCUGUACAUGAGCUUUCUGACUCCCUUCAGCGGGCCGAGGCUUGCCAUCAGAAACUGGAGACGGAGGUGUUGGCUCUCCUGUCCAUGGUGAAAGAAGAUGGCCUGGCAGAACGAGUCCCUACAGCAGUUGUUCAGAAGCUGAAGGAGGUCUGUGAAGCCUCCAGUGAGACCUGCUCCUCACUGCACCAGUGUCUAGGGCUUUUUUCCAAACAGGAAGGAGCACGCAGUUUGAAACUGGAGCAGGAGCUGGAGAAGAAUAAGAUCCUGUCGGAGGCUCUGCAGACGCUGGCCACUGAACAUCAUGAGCUGGAGCAGUCGGUGGUUAAAGGCUCGUCGCCCCGCAGCGUCCUCAGCGAAGACGAGUUCCACGACGCUCUGUCGGAUUCAGACUGUGAGCCUGUGCUGAGCAGUUGUGAAACAGCUACCCAUUCGUACGAAGACGGAGAGGACUUCAAUUCCGAGCUCUUCUGCAGCAUCUCGAGUCAUCUCAGCGGCAGGAUGUCCCGGGAAGACCGUCGUGGAGAGGAAGAGGACGACGAUGAGGUGGCCAGUGUUAACGGAGUGAAGAAAUACAGGACAAGUUUACCAGCGCCCAUGUUCUCCAGAAAUGACUUCAGCAUCUGGAGCAUACUGAGGAAGUGCAUUGGGAUGGAGCUGUCUAAGAUCACCAUGCCUGUUAUUUUUAAUGAGCCGCUGAGCUUUCUACAAAGAUUAACAGAAUAUAUGGAGCACACGUACCUCAUCCAUCAGGCUAAUGCUUCAGACGACUCUAUUGAGAGAAUGAAGUGUGUGGCCGCGUUUGCCGUAUCAGCUGUGGCGUCUCAGUGGGAAAGGACGGGUAAACCCUUCAACCCCCUGCUAGGAGAAACAUACGAGUUAGUCAGGGAUGAUCUUGGUUUCCGGCUGAUAUCAGAACAAGUGAGCCACCAUCCUCCCGUCAGCGCCUUCCACGCAGAGGGUUUGCAGAAGGACUUUGUGUUUCAUGGCUCUAUCUACCCCAAACUCAAGUUCUGGGGCAAAAGCGUGGAGGCCGAACCUAAGGGCAUCAUCACUCUAGAACUUCCCAAGCAUAAUGAGGCAUACACAUGGACCAACCCCACGUGCUGUGUCCACAACAUCAUCGUUGGACAGCUGUGGAUCGAACAGUACGGCAGUGUGGAGGUUAUCAACCACAGAACUGGUGAAAAAUGCUGUCUGAGUUUCAAACCGUGUGGGCUGUUUGGGAAGGAAUUACAUAAGGUUGAAGGCUACAUCCUGGACAAGAGCAAAAAGAAAGUGUACAAUCUUUAUGGGAAAUGGACGGAAUGCAUGUACAUAGUUGACCCAGCUUCAUUUGAAACUCACAGGAAGAAUGAUAAGAAAGCAUCAGAAGACAAGAAAAGCAGUAAACAGACAUCAGACGCAGAAGAAACACCUCAGCUAGGUGGAGAUUCACUAGAGGUUAUCCCAGGAAGUCAGUUGCUCUGGAGAAUAGCACCUAGACCAGAAAACUCUGCCCAGAUGUACAACUUCACUACAUUUGCAAUGCAGCUCAAUGAGCUGGACAAAGAGAUUGAAGCGGUCAUCCCAAAAACUGACAGCAGACUGAGGCCUGACAUUCGAGCCAUGGAGAACGGAGAUAUUGACCUGGCCAGCGAGGAGAAGAAGAGAUUAGAGGAGAAACAGAGGGCGGCACGUAAGAACCGCUCUAAGUCGGAUGAUGAUUGGAAGAUGAGGUGCAUAAAUAUUGCAUAUUUUCACAUUUUGCGGGGUUUGCGUUUUCAAAAAGUUAGUACAGUUUAGGGAUGGGCGAUAUGGACUUAAAACUAAAUCACAAUAUUUUCUGGUAUUUAUUGGAAUAAUGAUAUCGAUGAUUAUUCAUAUGCCUCCAAUGAGAGACAAAAAAACUCCUGUUUCUUUAGAUAGGUGGUCUCUUUACUGUACAUGUAAAUGUAAUGUCGGUUUCAUUCAUACUGGAAGCCAGAGGGUGCCCUUGCUCAUAAAAUAGUAAUGUAAUUGAACUGAUGGUGUUCCAGGAAAUCCCUAAUAUGGACAAAGGCUUCCAGCCAUCACCAUAGAUGAGAAAAACCGAAAGACUGAAACGGUUAAACUGAUCAAACAUAAGGACAAUAAACACACAACGGUUUAUUUGUAUUCUUCAAUCCAUCAUGGGUAUUUUUAUAAGAAUAAAGCAUAUUUAUAUAAGCAUAUUUUUCUCCUCAAUUUCACGCCACGUGCCGCAUUUAAUGCACGAGACAAAGCCAACACAUAUGUUGUUGUCACUCCCCACGACUAGUUUAAAAUGUUUCCAUACCUCCGAUUUUCCUCCAAACUUGCUCAAAGUUAAUUCUCCUGUUUUUUUUCUUCUUUGAUUCUUCAAGCUCCAUGUUGCACUUAAUCUACUGAAUAGUAUGCUACAGCGCGCACAGCAGGUGUGAUGCGUUACGCAUGCGAGACUGCGAGUGGACGAGACGCUGCGUAUGACACGAGGACGGUGGCGGGAAAUAUCGGCCCGGCCCGCGGGUCGGGUCGGGUCGAGCCCAGGCUCGGGCAGAGAAUCAAAGCUCUACUUGAUACGCACUUCUGCUGUGUCCGCGGCAGACUUCUACCCAACCCUCAAAGCGGCAUUAUGUCACUAAAGUGAGGGUUUAGGUUGCGAUUUGGGAAAUGGUCUAGGUUUUAUCAUCAUUAUCGUGCAAAGACUAAUUAUUAUUGUGGGGAGAAUUAAUAUCGGUAUAUCGCAAAUGGUAAGAUAUCGCCCAUCCCUACUAUAGUUAUUGUUCAUAAUAAAUCAAAAUGGGAUCUCCUUCAAACAGUGCUUUGCAAAAUCAGUAAUUUUGCUUUUUGAAGAACAUGUUAUAAAAUAUCAGUAAAAAAUGAUGCAUGUAAAACUUUUUUGUGAUGUUAGGGUUUGCUUGUGACUAACUGAAUUUAUUAGACCACUUUCAUUCAUAGCUUAAUGGUAUUUACUUAAGUAACUCAUUGAUGUUUAACAGCACUCUUAGUCCUGGUUCACUAGACACUGUCCUUUGCAUUUAACCCCAUUUUCCCCUUCAUUUCUUCUGCCAUUAUCAUCUGUCCUCUGACUUUGCUGCGGUGAGCAGAAACAUCAGCUCUGGCCCCAGGUGGUUUCAUCAAGGUCCAAAUCCACACAACGGCUCUCAGGACUGGCUGUUCUCCAAUGGUUACUGGGACCGUGAUUAUUCCCAAUUACCAGACAUCUACUGACCUACAGGAAUUGUAAAUUGUAUA